AGAGUUUGAUCCUGGCUCAGGAUGAACGCUGGCGGCGUGCCUAACACAUGCAAGUCGAACGAAGCACGUCCCUCGAGGCCUUCGGGCGGAGAGGGGCAUGACUUAGUGGCGGACGGGUGAGUAACGCGUGGGUAACCUGCCCUAUACUGGGGGAUAACAGCUAGAAAUGGCUGCUAAUACCGCAUGAGCGCACAGUCCCGCAUGGGACAGUGUGGAAAACUCCGGUGGUAUAGGAUGGACCCGCGUCCGAUCAGCUGGUUGGUGGGGUAACGGCCCACCAAGGCGACGAUCGGUAGCCGACCUGAGAGGGUGACCGGCCACAUUGGGACUGAGACACGGCCCAAACUCCUACGGGAGGCAGCAGUGGGGGAUAUUGCACAAUGGGGGGAACCCUGAUGCAGCGACGCCGCGUGAGUGAAGGAGUACUCCGGUAUGUAAAGCUCUAUCAGCAGGGAAGAAGCAAGACGGUACCUGACCAAGAAGCCCCGGCUAACUACGUG
RNAcentral lists this ribosomal RNA (500 nucleotides) under uncultured Lachnospiraceae bacterium. RNAcentral describes it as "bacterial SSU rRNA". It matches the Rfam family "Bacterial small subunit ribosomal RNA", at positions 8 to 507 of the family's 1533-position model. The record is from RNAcentral. Lineage: Bacteria; Bacillati; Bacillota; Clostridia; Lachnospirales; Lachnospiraceae.